RNAcentral lists this long non-coding RNA (252 nucleotides) under Brassica napus (rape). RNAcentral describes it as "long non-coding RNA (BNAP_LNC002523)". Lineage: Eukaryota; Viridiplantae; Streptophyta; Magnoliopsida; Brassicales; Brassicaceae. The record is from RNAcentral.
ACUCAAUGAUCUUACUUAAGGUCCUUAUCUUGAGUUCUGCAUCAAACAACUCCCCUAGGUACUUAGUCAUUCAACCAACCAUCCCCACAGACAUAAGUAACCUUUGAGAAGUCUUCGAAAGGAUAAGGAUAUGUAUUUGGCCUAUCUCGGCUCAAGCACAAUCCGAAUCCUUUUGCCUUAUAGGCAAUAGUACCAAGUCCAUCUCCUGGACUGACAAAGCUCAUGAGAUCCUAAGUCAAUCAACCAACCAUC